This 141-nucleotide ribosomal RNA is filed under the name Bacillus subtilis. RNAcentral describes it as "partial 23S ribosomal RNA". It matches the Rfam family "Bacterial large subunit ribosomal RNA", at positions 2792 to 2925 of the family's 2925-position model. The record is from RNAcentral. Lineage: Bacteria; Bacillati; Bacillota; Bacilli; Caryophanales; Bacillaceae.
GCCCCCCUCAAGAUGAGAUUUCCCAUUCCGCAAGGAAGUAAGAUCCCUGAAAGAUGAUCAGGUUGAUAGGUCUGAGGUGGAAGUGUGGCGACACAUGGAGCUGACAGAUACUAAUCGAUCGAGGACUUAACCAAAUUUCUA